Molecule: unclassified non-coding RNA, 52 nt
Filed under: Oryza sativa (Asian cultivated rice)
Lineage: Eukaryota; Viridiplantae; Streptophyta; Magnoliopsida; Poales; Poaceae
Description: partial microRNA MIR489g precursor
Source: RNAcentral
UGUAGUGUCUUGGGUUGGGACUGGCCUUAUGCCAUCCCAAUGCAGCAUUGCA